GAUGAACGCUGGCGGCGUGCCUAAUACAUGCAAGUCGAGCGAACGGACGAUAAGCUUGCUUCUCUGAUGUUAGCGGCGGACGGGUGAGUAACACGUGGAUAACCUACCUAUAAUACUGGUAUAACUUCGGGAAACCGUAUCUAAUACCGUAGAAUCUUUUGAACCGCAUUGUUCAAAAGUGAAAUACGGUCUUGCUGUCACUUAUAGAUGGAUCCGCGCUGCAUUAGCUAGUUGGUAAGGUAACGGCUUACCAAGGCAACGAUGCAUAGCCGACGUGAGAGAGUGAUAGGCCACACUGGAACUGAGACGCGGACAAGAGUACUAAGGGAGGCAGCAGUAGGGAACGUUACGCAAUAGGCGAAAGCAUGACGGAGUAACGCCGAGUGAGUGACGAAGGCGUUCGGAUCGUAAAACUCUGUUAUUAGGGAAGAACCUAUGUGUAAGUAACUGUGCACAUCUUGACGGUAAUUAAUCAGAAAGCAACGGCUAACUACGUG
RNAcentral lists this ribosomal RNA (497 nucleotides) under uncultured bacterium. Its description in RNAcentral is "partial 16S ribosomal RNA". It matches the Rfam family "Bacterial small subunit ribosomal RNA", at positions 28 to 507 of the family's 1533-position model. The record is from RNAcentral.